This 320-nucleotide ribosomal RNA is filed under the name uncultured Prevotella sp. Its description in RNAcentral is "bacterial SSU rRNA". It matches the Rfam family "Bacterial small subunit ribosomal RNA", at positions 28 to 339 of the family's 1533-position model. The record is from RNAcentral. Lineage: Bacteria; Pseudomonadati; Bacteroidota; Bacteroidia; Bacteroidales; Prevotellaceae.
GAUGAACGCUAGCUACAGGCUUAACACAUGCAAGUCGAGGGGCAUCAUGGGAGUUGCUUGCAACUUCUGAUGGCGACCGGCGCACGGGUGAGUAACGCGUAUCCAACCUUCCCCGUAGUAGGGCACAGCCCGGCGAAAGUCGGAUUAAUUCCCUAUGUUCUCCAAUGCAGACAUCUAAGUUGGAGCAAAGAUUCAUCGCUAUGGGAUGGGGAUGCGUCUGAUUAGGUUGUCGGCGGGGUAACGGCCCACCGAGCCUGCGAUCAGUAGGGGUUCUGAGAGGAAGGUCCCCCACAUUGGAACUGAGACACGGUCCAAACUCC